Molecule: unclassified non-coding RNA, 597 nt
Filed under: Hevea brasiliensis (rubber tree)
Lineage: Eukaryota; Viridiplantae; Streptophyta; Magnoliopsida; Malpighiales; Euphorbiaceae
Source: RNAcentral
UAGAUACAAUAUGCCCUCUCUUUCUCUCCCAGUCUCCUCUCUUUCCCCCCAACAUCUCAGCUGAAGGAAUGUUUCAGCUUCAGCACCGAUCCAAGUGCUGGGCCUGAGUAGAGGGAGACGAGAAAUGGAGGCAGGCGGCAAUGGAGCAGCUCAGGGGGAGGACAGGGUCGUGCAGACGUUCCAGAAGAGCUUCGUGCAGGUGCAGAGCAUCCUCGACCAGAACCGUCUGCUGAUCAACGAAAUCAACCACAACCAUGAGUCGAAGAUACCCGAGAGCCUCAGCCGCAACGUUGGUCUGAUCCGGGAGCUGAAUAACAAUAUCCGGCGGGUUGCCGGGCUCUACUCUGAUCUAUCGGUGUCAUUCUCGAGGUCGGUGGAGACGUCGUCGGAUGGGGAUGGAGACUCCGCCGGCACGAUGAGGUCGGAUGGGAAGCUCAGCCAGAAGAGAGGCAGGUCCGGGUAAAGGAUGAUUCAAGUAAAAGCAAUUGAAUUCUUUUUUACAGUGUCAUUGUUGUAAACUUCAUCAUGCAGCUCCAGUUUGGUAUUCAGAUUGAGCUCUUAUGUGUUGUGGAUCGCCGGUCUGUAUUAAGAUUAUUA